UAGGGUUCAUCAAAUGGCUAAUAGGCGAAAGGUAGAUACCCAUGACGAUAGAUUCAAAAACUGGGUCAAUCCACUCUCGUGACAGAGACCCCCAUAACUCUACCACUUCCUAAUCUCAACUCUCGUUGAUGAAACAUAGAAGAGCAGGGUUUAAGAAACAAUCUACCAAAGCCAAUAGGCAAACAAGCCAAUCCCUUGAUCGAGUCUACAUAUCUCUGGAAUUCGUAGGUCAGACAUCCAUUUGAACGUCUUUUGGACGUUGGACGUCUUUGAUCAAAUCUCCACAUUAGCCAGCGAAAACCGCAUAGGGGCCAAGCGAAUCCAGAAGGGUAUAAACCUAAACAUUAACCACCUAACUAACCUAGAGAUUACCCUAAUCUAAUCCAUCCUCAAGAACCCUAAUCACUACUCAAGCAACAUUCUCAAGAACACAAACU
RNAcentral lists this small RNA (437 nucleotides) under Arabidopsis thaliana (thale cress). RNAcentral describes it as "ATSL205810". The record is from RNAcentral. Lineage: Eukaryota; Viridiplantae; Streptophyta; Magnoliopsida; Brassicales; Brassicaceae.